This 250-nucleotide ribosomal RNA is filed under the name uncultured bacterium. RNAcentral's name for it is "partial 16S ribosomal RNA". It matches the Rfam family "Bacterial small subunit ribosomal RNA", at positions 524 to 769 of the family's 1533-position model. The record is from RNAcentral.
CACGUAGGGUCCGAGCGUUGUCCGGAAUUACUGGGCGUAAAGCGUGCGCAGGCGGUUGGGUCAGUCGCUGGUGAAAGCCCCACGCUCAACGUGGGAAUGGCCAACGAGACGGCCCGACUGGGAGGCAGGGAGAGGCCGGGUGGAAUUCCGGGUGUAGUGGUAGAAAUGCGCAGAUAGUCGGGAGGAACACCCGUAGCGAAGGCGGCACUCUGGGCCGGAACUGACGCUGAGGAGCGAAAGCGUGGGGAGC